CAGUUGGAUGUAUGAGAAUACAUUAAAGGUAGAGCGGUAGAUCGCUUUAUUCUUAUUCGUGUUGGAAAGCAGAAGAAGCGCGCUCGGUGCACGAAAAUGAAAUUGCUACUUUGGUGUUCGGUUUUUUUUGGCAUUGAUUUAUCUGUCAUCUACUGCUACGAUUGGAGAAAGACAAAAACCUGCAGAAGAAUAUAGCAAGACUAUCCGCCGCAAAAGAGGACUCUUUGAUGAUAUUUCAAAUGCAGUGGGAGGAGGAUUUAGAAAAAUAUAUGAAGGUAGCAAAUGGGUCGUGAAAGCUAUGAAUAAAGCAUAUGAACAUACUCCAAUUGGAAUGCUAGACAAGGCCGUUUCCAACUCGAAUACUGCAUUAGGAAGAUAUUGGAAAGCAACGAAAAAUGAAGCAACUGAAUUUGCACUGCAUUAUGCUGCGGCAAUAUGAGUUGAAACAUAAAAACAUAGCGUUGCGUAUUAUCAAAACUGUCAAAAGUUACAUAUUCACAAAUGUUUUGUGUUGUUCGUUUUAUACUCACAUUUGAGAGAGCAUUUGAGAUAGUCAUUGGAAAUAAAGUUUGUUUCUGAAAACUUGAGGUUGCUGUAUCGCUGAAAUUCAUCGUUUGGGUGUCGCUGCUGUAUAUAUAACCAGCUUUGGUUCCCCGCGGCUUUCUUUCUCCAGUAAAACUGUGUCAUUUCUCGUUUUUCGAAUAUUGUAUGAUUGUUUCUUCACUGAUUGGAAAAAAAUAAACUUGACUUGUUUGGAAUAUAAA
Molecule: non-coding RNA, 764 nt
Organism: Styela clava
Lineage: Eukaryota; Metazoa; Chordata; Ascidiacea; Stolidobranchia; Styelidae
Source: RefSeq, a predicted model, not a curated record